UGCGUAGGGUGCAAGCGUUGUCCGGAAUUAUUGGGCGUAAAGAGCUCGUAGGCGGUCUGUCGCGUCGGCUGUGAAAACCCGAGGCUCAACCUCGGGCCUGCAGUCGAUACGGGCAAACUAGAGUACUGCAGGGGAGACUGGAAUUCCUGGUGUAGCGGUGAAAUGCGCAGAUAUCAGGAGGAACACCGAUGGCGAAGGCAGGUCUCUGGGCAUUAACUGACGCUGAGGAGCGAAAGCAUGGGGAGCGAACAGG
Molecule: ribosomal RNA, 253 nt
Filed under: uncultured bacterium
Lineage: Bacteria
Description: partial 16S ribosomal RNA
Rfam family: Bacterial small subunit ribosomal RNA
Source: RNAcentral